This 462-nucleotide long non-coding RNA is filed under the name Equus caballus (horse). Its description in RNAcentral is "lncRNA (ENSECAG00000048133.1)". The record is from RNAcentral. Lineage: Eukaryota; Metazoa; Chordata; Mammalia; Perissodactyla; Equidae.
CUAACAUAAUGUCUAACACAAGCCCGUGAAUACUUAUGUUUCUUAGUCUUUGGGGCUGAAGGUAUAGAAAUGAAAUUAAGCCCUGUGAUACAAUCCAGGGUCUUUGCCAAGAAAAGAAACACGGACUUCUUCAGACUACUACUAUACGGUGCGUGGUUUGGAUCUAGCGAGAUCUUUCCCAAAUGUGGAACCCGUAUUGUACUUUCAAGAGAGCCUCAGAAAAAGGAAGCGACAUCUGACGUCUUUGAGAUAGGAAUUCAGUGCCCCUGCGAACCAGUGUAGCAGCUCCCAGACAAACUGUCAAGAACGGAAUUUAGGGGCCAGCCCAUGGCCGAGUGGUUGGGUUCGCAUGCUCCACUUCAGCGGCCCAGGGUUUCGCAGGUUCAGAUCCUGGGCGCGGACCUGGCCCUGCUCAUCAGGCCACGCUGAGGCAGCGUCCCACAUGCCACAACUAGAAGGACC